UUCCACCGCCGGAUCCGACAAGAUCUGUUUCGUGCCGAGCUUCCACCGCCGGAUCUGGCCCACCCCGCCCCACCAUGGGCAUGGCUACUGCACGGCCUCGACCCCGCGUCCCUGCGGCCGCGGCCGUAGCUCCGCCAUGCGACAGUUGGCCUCCACGGCCCGUGCCCCGCGCUGCCCCGACCGCGGCCCCAGCUCCGCCCCCUCCGCAAUGUCGAGCGCGUCAGCGUGCAGCUUGGCGGCGCGUGGACGUGCAGUGCGGGGGCGCCGGCAAAAUGAUGACGAGGAUGGUGUGUGCCUACUGGUUUGUGGGCUCGUUGGUUUUGCAACUCAAUUUUGCUUGUCAAUGCAGCCCAUUUUUGCUUGUCCGAGCAGUCCAUAAUGCUCCUGGGCAACCAAUUGACAUCCUUUCUCAUCCAUAUUGUGUGUGUGCAGUUCUGUAAUCAUGGUCGUGUAGCCCAUCGCCGCUAGGGUGUGUGGUUUGGUCAGUGUGGGCGUGCGGUUCAGUGCCCUCCAAUGUGUGGGUGUUCGACAACAAAAUGUUCACAGAAUGCCAUUUGAUUUUCCAGAUUUACAAAGAUGUUGUAAGAUUUUUUUUUGAAAAACUGUAGUUAAUUGUAAAAAAAACACUAAAUGUCAUUUGAUGCAGUUCGGAUAGGGACGCUACACUGCAGUCUGUCUA
Molecule: long non-coding RNA, 679 nt
Organism: Triticum dicoccoides
Lineage: Eukaryota; Viridiplantae; Streptophyta; Magnoliopsida; Poales; Poaceae
Exons: 2
Source: RefSeq, a predicted model, not a curated record